Homo sapiens (human) is the source of this 849-nucleotide long non-coding RNA. NCBI's taxonomy places the organism in Eukaryota, Metazoa, Chordata, Mammalia, Primates, Hominidae. The record is from Ensembl.
UUCUUUGUCAUAGACGAGCCUGACCUCACAGCCAUCUGACAACAAGAGAGCCAGGAAACAGUCGACCCUAUGGCUCCUAAGUCCAUAGGUUCUGGGCAGGCAAAGCCACUCAGUAGACCAAGCCUCAGUAUGAAAUGACAGCCUGGAAGACCCUGACUUCUGUUCCUGCAGGCAGUCUUCCACCUUCACAUCUGCCUGGGACACUGCAGAGGCAUCUCUCACCCAUAGAUGGGGCACUCAGUGCUGAAGCAGACGUCUGUCCCAAAGAUCCAGAUCCCACCCCUGCACAUUUUGGCUGAAUCACUUCCCGUCAUUCCAAGCAGAGGAAGAUCCAAAAAUUCUCACCUCCAUAGUUUGAACAGCUAAUUUGCUUUUUGUUCUUGUUGCAGUGAGUACAUUGUCACGGGCAGAAAUGCUAGCUCAUACACCAAAAGGAAGAAAAUUGCUUUCAUUAUUAUACAUUCAAAAGGAGAUGAAGAAAGCUGGAAGCCCCAUCAAAACUGCCAGCCUCCAAGCUGAGACGGGAACAUGGCUGCCUUUGGGAGAAAGAGUGGCCUGACAGCUCAUGCCCAUCAGCCAAGGGCUCCCCUUGGCCUGGAAUACACCCUCCGGAACAGCCAGCAGGUGCACCCACAAACGCAGCACCCUCCAUACCUCACCUUCAAGCUGGCACUUGCUGAACUGCACACACAUUUUUCUAAGAGAGGUUGUCACCUAUACUGAGCUUAAUAGAAAUUGUUAAUCUUAUAUGUAAAGGUAAUAAUUUGUCAUAAAUAAUUGUUCAUUAUCUGGGCCUUUGCUUGUCUUGGAGUUGAGCUGUAUGCAAUAAAGCAGUGCAAUUUUGAGUAA